Solea senegalensis (Senegalese sole) is the source of this 813-nucleotide long non-coding RNA. RefSeq lists it as uncharacterized. The transcript is spliced from 6 exons. Lineage: Eukaryota; Metazoa; Chordata; Actinopteri; Pleuronectiformes; Soleidae. The record is from RefSeq and is a predicted model, not a curated record.
CUUCCGCCUGCUCCUGCCUCUUAAAAAGGGCAGCCUCGUGUCACUCUCUCUCUCCCUUCGCACAUCAUGGCUGACCGGAUCAAUAAGGACACAACGUGGUGCUUGCGAGAUGUGAAGGUAUCAACAUCUCCGCCGACUUCUAUCGCAACAAACUGACGUAUCAUGCUUUUCUGCACAAAAGGAUGAGCACCACCUUACCACUGCAGAGCUCCCAGCAUGGUCUUCUGGAGUACCAUCAGAGGCAUGUUGCCCCAUAAAACCAAGAGAGGCCAGGCUGUGCUGGAGAGGCUGAAGGUGUUUGAUGGCAUCCCUGCCCUAUGACAAGGGGAAGGGCAUGUUGUCCAAGCUGCCCUUAAGGUUGAAGCCCAUCCUGUGGUAUUUUCUUGAGGACAAGGAUGAUUCUCAGCCAUGCCUUCAGUCACAACUAACAUGAGAGACAAACGUGGAGAGGCUUGAGACCUCACAUCAGGACUUUCGUCACAUGAGAAUUUCUUCCGACCAGCACCACCAUGAAGAAAUUGAACGUCUACAGUGCGAGAUCGACGGCACAAAGAUCAGGAAGCUGAAGCAUGAAGACCGUUAAAACUUCCAGUUGAUUGUGCUAUAAGCACUUGAAAGUUAUUAAAGCUAUGAAACAAUUCCGUUGCACAUUGUGAUCCAAGUUGUACACUGUUUUCAAAUUGAUCCCGUUUUGUAGUAGGCAAUGGCAAGUGUGCUAUAUGUAGCAGGCAAAGUGGCAUAAUCUAAACAUGUGUGCUUUAAAUGUCAACAGCAUACUGUCCUACUUGUGUAAUUAAAGUGCUGUUGUAAACA